Molecule: long non-coding RNA, 1145 nt
Organism: Acanthopagrus latus (yellowfin seabream)
Lineage: Eukaryota; Metazoa; Chordata; Actinopteri; Spariformes; Sparidae
Exons: 3
Source: RefSeq, a predicted model, not a curated record
ACGACGACUGCUACCCCGAACACUGCGAGGAGCACCUUGGCGAAGGAGACCUGUGCGGAAAAAAGAAGGGAAAAAAAGUGAGAAAGCCGCUCCAAAAGAGCUCCAGGCGAAGCUCACCCCCGACACGGCAUCGAUUAAGCAGCGCAAGACCAAUGCCAUGACUGCCGGACACGAGGAUGGAGAAUCUCCAAGUGGUGGCAUGCCCCUUCGGUUUUGGAAAGUGGACACCUCCCAGCACAGAUGUUUGGCUGAGUCGGAGCCAUGAGACGCCGCAGUUGAGUUCACCAGGAAGUUGUGACAUCCUCUGCAACCUUAACUGCCUGCUUCCUGCAUAACGGAAUAUGCUGCUUUACAGUAGAGUUCACAGUACGCUUCCUCGGAGCGCUACUGCUCAAGGAUGAAAUACAGUCAAGGACAGGUGUGUCUCCUCCAAUCACUCUCAGGGAUGUGGAUUCUCACCUUGUAGCUCCUGAUCAAAUCCCAUCACAGAUGACAGCCUUUGAGAUAGAAGUCACACAUGAUUUGUGAGCGUUUAUUUUGUUCAAGCUUAAUAAUACAGACACUUGAUGGAUAAAGAGGGAGUUUGAUAUUAUCUAGAAAGUUGAGCUGUAGAAAACAGACAUUUUCUCAUAAAUGUACUUUAUUGUUUAAAUGUAUUCCACUUCAAAUGUAUUUUAUGCUGCUCUUCGGUGUGUUGUUGCGUGCUUCAAAGCAGUUUGAGUGAAUUCUGCUUCUAUCUAAAAGUUCUUGUACAAGUUCUUGCAGAAAGUUUGUUGGUUGUUGUAGAAAUAAAAUACAGCCAUGGCAAUAGCAGAAGUCCCAACAGCACCAUCUAGCGGUGAAAGGAAGCCAUGCAGAACGGCCCAAAUCACUUUCCCGAAGUUAAAAAGCUUCACAGACAUGUUGACUGGAUCUCUAGCUUUGUAAAAGCAUUAGACGUGUUAUAUUUUACUAGACUGUGAGCAUUUGCACAGGAAAUCUCCGCCAUUAAAAGGUCAAAAACACGCGUUUAAGGCCGCAAAGGAAAGAACACGGGGAGGUCUUCAGGGUGAGUUGAAAAACUGGCAAAGUGGAGAAUCCUACUUUCAUGGCAUAUAGGAAUAGUAUAGUUCAAUUCAACAUGACAUUCAGGAGCUGGGGCGCAU